AAUAUUUGUCUAAAGUGUACCUAUGUAGUCUUGGCGAAAUCUGUGAUUAUAGAAACCUGGCAAGAGCAGUGCUUCGCAGAGUCUACCGCCGGACCAGAAUCGAGACCCACUGAGAAGACCUGGUGAGAAACUCAAUGGGCUAUAUGGGUUAGUUCGCUCGCCAAACUCUUCGUCGUAUUCGAGGAGUUUGACGAGGACGGUGACCGAUGCUCGAAGACCCUAAAAUCCCCGAGUGUGGACUCAGGAUAUCCUACAAGAACCAUUUCAGGCGACGGCGGCUGUGCGUUGCACCGUCGCUUGGGUCGAAUAUGACGUGUAUCUAUCUAACUAUUUAUGUAAUAAAAUAUUUUCUUUUUCACUAA
Long non-coding RNA from Bombyx mori (domestic silkworm), 362 nucleotides. RefSeq lists it as uncharacterized. NCBI's taxonomy places the organism in Eukaryota, Metazoa, Arthropoda, Insecta, Lepidoptera, Bombycidae. The record is from RefSeq and is a predicted model, not a curated record. The transcript is spliced from 2 exons.